RNAcentral lists this ribosomal RNA (477 nucleotides) under Conger erebennus. RNAcentral describes it as "partial 16S ribosomal RNA". It matches the Rfam family "Bacterial large subunit ribosomal RNA", at positions 1953 to 2563 of the family's 2925-position model. Lineage: Eukaryota; Metazoa; Chordata; Actinopteri; Anguilliformes; Congridae. The record is from RNAcentral.
AAGGUAGCGUAAUCACCUGUCUUUUAAAUAAAGACCUGUAUGAAUGGCAAGACGAGGGUUUUACUGUCUCCUCCCCCCAGUCAAUGAAAUUGAUCUACCCGUGCAGAAGCGGGUAUAAAAACAUAAGACGAGAAGACCCUAUGGAGCUUUAGGCAUAUAUCAAAUAUGUAAAAAACCAAAUUUUUCCAAAUAGGCCUAAAAAAUGAGAAAAACAAGUAUUAAUGAUUAAGUGCCUUCGGUUGGGGCGACCACGGGGAAAAAUAAAACCCCCACAUGGAAUGGGAAAAAUAACCCUAAGCCAAGAAAAACACUUCUAAGCAACAAAAUUUUUGACCAAUAAACGACCCAGGGACACAUCCCUGAGCAAUGAACCAAGUUACCCUAGGGAUAACAGCGCAAUCCUUUCCCAGAGCCCAUAUCAACGAAAGGGUUUACGACCUCGAUGUUGGAUCAGGGCAUCCUAACGGUGCAGCCGCU